CAAGAUUUUUCUUGAUGGGGUUUCGUCCAAUCUUUGACUCUUUUUCGCUCAAAUUCACAUUAAUGCAUGAGUCUAUUUCUAAGGCAAGUGCUUAUUCCUCAUUUUUCUAUAUAUAUUUUUUCAUUUCUUUUUCUCUUUUUUUUCGGUAGAAGCGGAUGUUUCUACACAACUUUUCUUUUCCUCAUCUUUCUUUUUCUUGCACUUGCCCUUUUUCAACAUUUCUUCUACGGAUUACUACCCCAAACUUAUCUUUCUACACAAAUUUUACACUACAACAAUCAUGCCGAGCGAGGGUAGGAAGUUAUGGCUUAUGGUU
RNAcentral lists this long non-coding RNA (316 nucleotides) under Lathyrus oleraceus (garden pea). RNAcentral's name for it is "Pisum sativum (pea) long non-coding RNA (PSAT_LNC031574)". The record is from RNAcentral. Lineage: Eukaryota; Viridiplantae; Streptophyta; Magnoliopsida; Fabales; Fabaceae.